This 86-nucleotide signal recognition particle RNA is filed under the name uncultured Porticoccus sp. Its description in RNAcentral is "Bacterial small signal recognition particle RNA". It matches the Rfam family "Bacterial small signal recognition particle RNA". Rfam says of the family: The signal recognition particle (SRP) is a universally conserved ribonucleoprotein involved in the co-translational targeting of proteins to membranes. Archaeal SRP consists of a 7S RNA and homologues of the eukaryotic SRP19 and SRP54 proteins. Lineage: Bacteria; Pseudomonadati; Pseudomonadota; Gammaproteobacteria; Cellvibrionales; Porticoccaceae. The record is from RNAcentral.
GGUCCCUAGCAAUGAUAUUUCACAAACCCCGCCAGACCCGGAAGGGAGCAACGGUAGUGAAAAUAUUAUGUGCUAGACAAGGCUGG